RNAcentral lists this ribosomal RNA (466 nucleotides) under uncultured bacterium. RNAcentral describes it as "bacterial SSU rRNA". It matches the Rfam family "Bacterial small subunit ribosomal RNA", at positions 329 to 793 of the family's 1533-position model. The record is from RNAcentral.
GUCCAGACUCCUACGGGAGGCAGCAGUGAGGAAUAUUGGUCAAUGGCCGAGAGGCUGAACCAGCCAAGUCGCGUGAGGGAAGAAUGUCCUAAGGAUUGUAAACCUCUUUUGUCGGGGAGCAAAAAGGCUCUGCGGAGUCGUAUUGAGAGUACCCGAAGAAAAAGCAUCGGCUAACUCCGUGCCAGCAGCCGCGGUAAUACGGAGGAUGCGAGCGUUAUCCGGAUUUAUUGGGUUUAAAGGGUGCGCAGGCGGAAGAUCAAGUCAGCGGUAAAAUUGGGAGGCUCAACCUCUUCGAGCCGUUGAAACUGGUUUUCUUGAGUGAGCGAGAAGUAUGCGGAAUGCGUGGUGUAGCGGUGAAAUGCAUAGAUAUCACGCAGAACUCCGAUUGCGAAGGCAGCAUACCGGCGCUCAACUGACGCUCAUGCACGAAAGUGUGGGUAUCGAACAGGAUUAGAUACCCUUGUAC